Molecule: ribosomal RNA, 119 nt
Filed under: Pteropus alecto (black flying fox)
Lineage: Eukaryota; Metazoa; Chordata; Mammalia; Chiroptera; Pteropodidae
Source: RNAcentral
GUGUACGGCCACGCCACCCUGAACGUGCCCGAUCCCGUCUGAUCUCAGAAGCUAAGCAGGGUCGGGCCUGGCCAGUACUUGGAUGGGAGACCACCUAGGAAGACCAGGUGCUGUAGGUG